Molecule: ribozyme, 134 nt
Filed under: Aedes aegypti (yellow fever mosquito)
Lineage: Eukaryota; Metazoa; Arthropoda; Insecta; Diptera; Culicidae
Description: drz-agam-1 ribozyme
Rfam family: drz-agam-1 ribozyme
Source: Rfam by way of RNAcentral
UGCCCAGCAACUCCUAUCCCUACCUCCUCGUGGUACUGGCCGGGGUACGAGUAACCUUGGGGAAGUAGUAGGAAGUAGUAGGAAGGAGUAACCAACCCCCGGUGGGAACUUUGGUCGUAUGCUGACAGGAAAGG